CUUGUGUCCCAGCGUCUGCCCAGUGAUUAAUAUGUUAAGCUCCAUAAAUGUUUAUUCAACGAGUAAAUUAGUGACUAGGUACUAAGUUCUUAUUCUUGUGUACAGUCACCUAUCAAAUCUUUCCACUCUUCUCUGGGCAAUUGGGGAAGCUAUGUAUAGAAAAUGGAAGAGUCUCUGUCAGCCUGGGUUACUAAGGGUGAACCUGAACUUUCUCUGAGUGAAAAAAAAAUCUAUUUUACUGAGCCACAGAGAUUUGGAUAUUCAUAUUUUAUAGCAGUAUUAACUAAUACAAGGUAUUUUUAACCUUUAAAAGAAAAGAAGAAAAAGUAGAAGUGAUACUAAUUUCCCAGAUGCCAUCCAACUCCUCUUUCACCAAUAGAUAGCAUUGAAAGGCGGGAAUCAGUGCCUCCUCCUAGUGAUAGUGCCUCAGUUGAGCAGGGCUUAUUCCGAACUCAGUAUGCAACAUCCCGACAGGGCAAAUCUAGGGAUUGCUCUCAAGUCACUAUCCAACAUCCCGAUGGGUUGAAUGGCAUGCCAAACACAGCAAUAAGCACUAUAAAAAAGCCAGGCCGCCCCGGGGUGGGGCCACGUGGCUUCAGACCAGAGAGCGGAGCUACCUUGGCCCAAGCGCUGCAGCUGCCUGAACCCCAGGGCUUCGCAGCCUUGCUUGUUUUCUCUGAACCGCAAUAGGACGGUGUUCACAGCGAUUCAAAGGGUGGCAUUGGGUUGGACGUUUUGGUUACGAGCCAGCCUAUUCCCACAUUGUACGUGAAUGUUUAAUGUGCUCUCAAAACAUGGAAAAUAAGUUUAGUGCACAUAGCUAAAUCACAAAACAUCCGAUUUCUGUUUCCUCAGGAAGUCAUUACUGCGCCACCACAUCACGUGACCUUAACAUGAUCAAUGUAUUUCUCUGCCUUGACAUUUAAAUAAACUAUAUAAAUUAAGAUAAGUAGAUUAGAAAAUCAUUCAAAUUAUACCAUAAUCUGUACAAAUAUUGUGUCCCCUGCCAGGCAAGGGACAGGGUGCGGGCGACGGCCGCGUGGCCAAGGCCCCGCAGGAAAGCGCCCAGGUCUCCCUCACUCUCCAGGUGCCCUUUGCACCCAACAGUGCGUGUGAGGAACGAACUGCUGUUUGAGCGUCCCCUGAGAUUGUGCGUAGCCCCGUGUAAAUGUAAUAGCCUCCAUGGCUUAAUUGGCUAGCAAGCGAAUUUUCCCAGAUGAAAGCAAUGUUGGGUUAGGGGACGACGGUGCAGCCACCCAGCCUUUACCAGCAGCGUGCUGCAGACGAAGGCAGUCAAGGUGUGGAGGUGAUCACGCAGGCGCAGGUCAGUUGCCGUGAUGCUCCUUGAGUCAAUGAGCUCUUUGGUCUGCUCUUCUGCUCAAGCAGAAAAUGAUCUGCGCUUCACCCUUGAGAAGCUGACAAGAACCACAGGCUUCUUCAGGCAGGUGGUGGAACAUGGGUGUAUCCUUCAGGUGCUUACAGUAUCUCCCUUUGCUCAGGCUCUAGCCUGAUUUUCUGGCUCAUAAGGCCAAAGGGAGCUGGAAAGGUCCCCACGGCAGGACUCAUGGUGGAGAGAGAAUGAUCUAGAGGAUUCAGGCCUCUGCACACUGUGUCUGGGUCCCUCCUUAAAGAAUGAUAAAGACAAGUAAAGAGCUUGAAGCAGCCUGGAGUCCAGCCAGAAACCUUUAACUGAGCUUUAAAGGAGAUGGUCACAACACUUUUCAGAAUACUGGCAAAGGCCUCCUGUGGCCAAGUUUGUCCUGGGAUGAGCAAAAUUUAAUGUUAACCUGCUGUAUCUUUGCUUUUAAUAUAUCUGCUUGCCCAUCACAAUGAUAUUAUGGUUAAUUUCACCAAUUUGGUAACCUGCCUCUUGGGAAGUACGAAAGUAAGCAAGGGCCAGGUAUGGUGACUCACGCCUGUAAUCCCAGUACUUUGGGUGGCUGAGGUGGGUGGAUUGCUUGAGCCCAGGAGUUCAAGACCAACCUGGGCACCAUGACAAAACCCCGUCUCUACAAAAUAUACAAAAAUUAACCAGGAGUGGCAGUGCAUGGCUGUAAUCCCAGCUACUCGGAGGCUGAGGUGGGAGAAUCUCUUGAGCCUGGGAGGCAGAGGUUGCAGUGAGCUGAGAUCACACCACUGCAUUCCAGCCUGGGCAAUGAAGUGAGACCCUGUCUCAAAAAAAAAAAAAAAAAAAAAAAAAGAGAAAGACAGUGAGGGUGUCCUGUGAAUCAAAUCUUUGAAUGGAUGUUUUCUUAACUAACCAAGACCUCUGUAAGAAUUCUGUCUUUGAUUCCACAAUAAAGUGGUGUGAAAUUACUAUAAGCAAAUGUUUACAUGUCUCAUUUAAUCUUCACAGCAAUCCUAUGAGGCAAGUAGAAUUGUUAUCCUCAUUUUCUGAGCGAUGAAACUGAGGCUCAGGGGAGGGUGUGACCUUGCCAAGUCCCCACAACUGGAAACCACGGAACAAAAUGACCUGAGUCACACAUGCUAGAAAAAACUCAUUGUGCCUCCCCAUGGAGAUUCACAAUGGCUAUUUCUGUUGCAAUAGAGGAUGAAGCAGGUGGUCUUUCCAAUCAAGAGCUGUUAAGAAAGGCUCCAGUUCUCCCCGGGGAAUCUCAGAAUCAGACUGAAGAUUCGGAAGAGCCUUUGCUGACCACUGAGUCAAACUCCCCAGAAUCCUUUUGUAGUACCGCUGACCAGUGAGUGAUCAUCAAACCUCCAAAGACUUCGGUAAUUUGCAGAUUCUAGGGAAAAUUCCAUGAGUUAACAGAGGUGAAAUUUGAAAGUUCCAUAGAGAAAUUCUGGAACUUGAAAUUAUCAUAGGAAGAUUAUUAUGCAAUUUCGUUCCUGUUAGUAGUCUUUAAUAAAGAGACUUCAGGUGAACACUGGGUUGAACCAAGAUUACUUUCUCCCAUUGUCACCAUUCUGAUUUCAGAUUGUUCCUUGCUGGUUUAUAUCCUCUUCAAUUCCAUUUUGUACCAGAUAGAGGCAGAGUAGAAGGAAAAACUGAACAACAAACCGCAUUUGUGCCAGCUCGAGGGAUAAACACCCUCUAAGGAGCAUCUCAAGCUUUCCACAAGAUUUCAACAGGGUCAACCCAGUUCACAGGCAGGUAGUGUGUCUUCAAUGUGUGGCCAAUCGCUGUUGGACAAACAGGAGGUGUUUUCCCCAGGAUACCCUGCACUAGACUCGGCAUCUUUUCAGUCUUCUUCCUAUUCUGUCUCCUUCCCAGCACACUGACACUGGAAGCACACUAAGUCAUCACAUGAGCAAUUCACAGGUGCCAUGAAAUACCUCACAAAUGUACAGCACUUUAACUGUUGACCCCAUGUAUUAGGUAAGAAAGAUAUUAUUAUUUACAUUUAUCUAUUGGAACUUGGGGGCACAGAGUGUUUAAAUUACCUGCCCAAGGGCACACAAGUCACUCGCCUCUUGUGUUUCAAUUAUACAAUGGCUUAGUGAUUCUUUCUUUCAGACGAUUGUUGUGAGGAGUGAAUGGAAUUAAAUCAAGUCUAUGUGGAAAGGGCCUGGAGCAUGAGUUCUCAAUGCAGGGUGACUACUGUCAGCACCAACUAGUUAUGAUAAUGACCAUGAUGAUGAUGGGGAAAUAAUAACACCUUGAAGUAAUAAUAAUGAAGUUAGAACGAUACUCCCAAAUGUAUGAAAAUUACAUCUAUAAAAUGAGUUAGUUUAUAAAUCGUGAGAAAAUGGGCAUCCUCAGGUAUUGCAGGUAGAAACACACAAUGGAAUAACUCUUGUCAGCAAGCUAAUCCAUUUCC
RNAcentral lists this long non-coding RNA (3779 nucleotides) under Homo sapiens (human). RNAcentral describes it as "HSALNT0357748". The record is from RNAcentral. Lineage: Eukaryota; Metazoa; Chordata; Mammalia; Primates; Hominidae.